This 433-nucleotide ribosomal RNA is filed under the name uncultured bacterium. Its description in RNAcentral is "partial 16S ribosomal RNA". It matches the Rfam family "Bacterial small subunit ribosomal RNA", at positions 29 to 507 of the family's 1533-position model. The record is from RNAcentral.
AACGAACGCUGGCGGCAUGCCUAACACAUGCAAGUCGAACGAAACCUCCGGGUCUAGUGGCGCACGGGUGCGUAAGGCGUGGGAACCUGCCCUUAGGUUCGGAAUAACUCUCCGACAGGGGUGCUAAUACCGGAUAAUGUCUUCGGACCAAAGAUAUAUCGCACUUGGAUGGGCAGGCGUUGGAUUAGCUGGUUGGUAGGGUAAAAGCUUACCACGGCGACGUUUCAUAGCUGGUCUGAGAGGAUGAUCAGCCACACUGGGACUGGGACACGGCCUAGACUCCUACGGGAGGGGGGAGAGGAGAAUAUUGGACGGUGGGCGAAAGCCUGAUCCAGCACUGCCGCGUAAGUGAUGAAGGCCGGGGGGUUGUAAAGCUCUUUUACCCGAGAUGAUAAUGACGGUACCGGGUGAAUAAGCUCCGGCUAACUCCGUG